GGUCAAGCAUGGACUCGGCGGUGAGCGGCGGACGGGUGAGUAACGCGUGGGAAUCUACCGAGUAGUGGGGGACAACCAGUGGAAACGCUGGCUAAUACCGCAUACGUCCUAAUUUUAGGGGAAAGAGGGGGCUCCUUAUGGACCUCUUGCUAUUUGAUGAGCCCGCGUUGGAUUAGCUAGAUGGUGGGGUAAAGGCCUACCAUGGUGACGAUCCAUAGCUGGUCUGAGAGGAUGAUCAGCCACACUGGGACUGAGACACGGCCCAGACUCCUACGGGAGGCAGCAGUGGGGAAUAUUGCACAAUGGGCGCAAGCCUGAUGCAGCCAUGCCGCGUGUGUGAAGAAGGCUCUAGGGUUGUAAAGCACUUUCAAUGGGGAAGAAAAGAUUAAGACGAAUACUCUUGAUCCGUGACGUUAUCCAUAGAAGAAGCACCGGCUAACUCCGUGCCAGCAGCCGCGGUAAUACGGAGGGUGCGAGCGUUAAUCGGAAUUACUGGGCGUAAAGCGCGCGUAGGCGGUUAGUUAAGCGAGAUGUGAAAUCCCUGGGCUCAACCUGGGAACUGCAUUUCGAACUGGCUGACUAGAGUACAGAAGAGGGUGGUGGAAUUUCCAGUGUAGCGGUGAAAUGCGUAGAGAUUGGAAGGAACAUCAGUGGCGAAGGCGGCCGCCUGGUCUGAUACUGACGCUGAGGCGCGAAAGCAUGGGGAGCGAACAGGAUUAGAUACCCUGGUAGUCCAUGCUGUAAACGAUGUCUACUAGCUGUUGGGCUCCUAGAGGGUUUAGUGGCGCAGUUAACGCACUAAGUAGACCGCCUGGGGAGUACGGCCGCAAGGUUAAAACUCAAAUGAAUUGACGGGGGCCCGCACAAGCGGUGGAGCAUGUGGUUUAAUUCGACGCAACGCGAAGAACCUUACUCAGGCCUUGACAUCUCCGGGAAGAAGCCAGAGAUGGUUUUUGUGUCUUCGCGAACCCGUGACAGU
Molecule: ribosomal RNA, 979 nt
Filed under: uncultured bacterium
Lineage: Bacteria
Description: bacterial SSU rRNA
Rfam family: Bacterial small subunit ribosomal RNA
Source: RNAcentral